CAACAAUCCUAGGUCAAGGAGUCUACCCUGGCCUGCUGUACCAAAAUAGCCACACUGUGGUCUAUGCUUUGGUGGGAGGCUAGAGGAUAUUGGUAUGCCUCCCAUUAUUUCUUUUGAAUACUCUGUCUUAGUCAGUUUUCUGUUGUUAUGGCAGAAUACCUGAGACUUGGUGAUUUAUAAGAAGAGAAGAUGUUUAUGUUGAUAGUGGUUUUAGAAGGCAGAAAAUCUAAGGGCAUGUUGCUGGCAUCUGCUUGGUGAGGGCCUCAGGCUGCCACAGCUUACGGUGGCAAGUGGAAAGGUAUUUCUAUUAUUUUCAAUUGAGAUCUAAAUUGAAACUGAGUAUUUUCUCUACCUACUAGAAGGACUUGCAAGGGACUUCAGUUUUAUAUAUUAUGAUUUGUACAUGCUUCAAACUUUAUUGAUUCACUGAAGAGAUUUUUCUGAUAACUAAACAGAAAAACUGGACACUAAGGAAGCUAAAUUCCAUUCCUCCAAAGCAUCUGGUUCCUCCUAGAAGUUUCCUGACUUCUGUGGGCAAAAUGUGAUGACAAAGGCUCACAGCUACUAAUGUGCCUAACUUGCAAGAAAGAAACUUUGAAAUGACCAGUCUACCUUUUAUUCUUUGUUUCCACUAUCUUCAACAUCUUUUGGUCUAUAAAACCAACUUUCUCUGCUCCGCUCAUUGGAACACAAUCCAUUUUAAGAAUUUAGAAUAUGUAUCAAGCAUUGGAGGGGAAGAAACUCUUCAAAGAACACCUCCGCAGAAAGAAUCUACUAUAACAGGAAGACAUAAAAAGCAAAGAAGCCACAAGUAGUGGUGUCCACCUGUACUCUACUCCUAGCACUCUGAGAAACUCGGAAGGAGGACACAAGUUUGAGCCAAACCCACGCAACUUAGACACUGAAGACUGCUAACAGUGCCAAACCAUUAUGAAGGAAUAAAUGAUUUCUCCAAAAACCUUUGGCUCAGGGCAUCUAGUGGCUUUGUGCAGCUAGAUUCCUGAAAGCUCACCUUGCUAUCACUUCCAGGAGGUCUUUGUAGUCUCCUGUGGGCUGAAGCAAGGACUCCAGGCUAUCCUCUGAUGAAAGUGAGUUGACAGACUUCACCAACAUAUUAGUGUAAGCUUUUCAGAAUCACACAGAGAUGUGUUCACAUCAAAUCAGUCUCGACAGUGAGUAAUAUGAAUUCAUAACUUGCUUUGUGAAGGCUGAACCAGAAGACCAGAGGCUAUGGGGAAG
This 1239-nucleotide long non-coding RNA is filed under the name Heterocephalus glaber (naked mole-rat). RNAcentral describes it as "lncRNA (ENSHGLG00100033567.1)". Lineage: Eukaryota; Metazoa; Chordata; Mammalia; Rodentia; Bathyergidae. The record is from RNAcentral.